Molecule: ribosomal RNA, 778 nt
Filed under: uncultured Neocallimastigales
Lineage: Eukaryota; Fungi; Neocallimastigomycota; Neocallimastigomycetes; Neocallimastigales
Description: partial large subunit ribosomal RNA
Rfam family: Eukaryotic large subunit ribosomal RNA
Source: RNAcentral
UAUGUGAUCGUCUCUCGCAUAUCAAUAAGCGGAGGAAAAGAAACUAACAAGGAUUCCCCUAGUAACGGCGAGUGAAGCGGGAAGAGCUCAAAUUUGAAAUCUUAAAGGGUUUCCCUUUACGAAAUUGUAGUUUAAAGAAGUGUUUUCUGUUGAGGUUUUGGUAAAAGUUCUUUGGAAUAGGACAUCAUAGAGGGUGAGAAUCCCGUAUUUGACCUUUACUUUCAACUUUGUGAUACACUUUCAAAGAGUCGGAUUGUUUGGGAAUGCAGUCCAAAAUGGGUGGUAAAUUUCAUCUAAAGCUAAAUAUUGGCGAGAGACCGAUAGCGAACAAGUACCGUGAGGGAAAGAUGAAAAGAACUUUGAAAAGAGAGUUAAACAGUACGUGAAAUUUGUCAAAAGGGAAGCGUUUGACACCAGUGUUGUUUUUCUGAAAAUCAAUUAAAGAACUGUUUAUGCUAAGUUGUUUAGACUUUAUCAGCUAACUGUUUAGUUUUGAGCUUUUCUUUAAUGCACUUUUCAGUUAACAAGUCAACAUCAAUUUCUUUUGCCUGUAAAAAAGCUUGAGGAAGGUGGCUUGAGAUUCGUCUUAAGUGUUUAUAGCCUCUUGCCUAUGCAGUCGGAGAGAUUGAGGUCAUGCAGCGUAGAUCCUUCGGGGCUAAAUGCAUUUGUGCUAAGUUAUAGCAUUUUAUAGACAACUUGUUGACUAUGAUUUGUCUUGUAGCUUACUCGCUUAUGUUAUUUUACCUACGCUUAGGAUGUUGACACACGCGCGUGCUCG